AUAAAUUUGAUGAUUCCAGGUCUGUUAUUUUUAGAAACAUGAAAAUCUCCAUGAUUUUGCCGUUUACCGGCAACUAGUUAGUUGCCAACAAAGCUGACGCUAAACCUGGACGUAAUGCUGGAAGAAUUUUUACGGCCUGAGGGUCAGGUAAGACAUCAUCGCCUCGUUUUGCGUGUUACGCUCAUAUACGUAACCACUUGUUUUUUUUUUUUUUGUACUUGCAGAUAUGCACCACUUAAUUUCCCCAAAGUCCCAAAGUCAUACCAUUUGAUUUGGACCCGUAGAGCAUUUCCAUUUGGGAAUAUUGUAUUUUUUCUUAAAUAAGGACCCCAUAAGGAUUCAUUUUAGAACAAUUUUGAUUUUAAUAAUUUAAUUUUUUAACAAAUUUGAUGUCAUAUGCACUUAUUUAUGCUUUUAAGAAUUUUAGACUUCGGGCCCUUCCACGUGGGGCCUUGGCAACGCUACGCGGGUCGGCCUCCUAGUUGAAGUGGGGUGGGGGAGGAGGGGGAGGAUAGGAAAAAUCUAUUACUGAUUUUAGUAUUUAUUAAAUAUUUAUAUUUAUUUUUUUUACCAUUCACAGCUUAAAAUUGAUUCUUAUAUUUUGCAGUGGCAAUGAUUUUAAAAGCAUUAGUUUUAAAGGGGGUAGUUUUAUUUUAAAAAUAUCUGAAGAAAAUGUCUGCGCCCGCGCAGUGUCAUCCCCCUGGGGGGAUGACUCCUCCCGUACCUACGAACCCAAAGUCAAAGAAACCCGUUUAAGCCAGGCCCCGGACAUUAUGGUCAUCCGUAUUAAUUGGACCCAUUGAUAUCCAUCCGGAUCCGAAAAGCUUUCCGGUCAGCUCACGUUUCCCCAAACAGACGUCACACUGCCGGCCGUGGGAGGUGACGUCGUAUAUGACCUAUACGCAACAAUCGAGCACUGGAUUUACAUCCAUAUUGAGGGCAAGGAAAAAAAGGAAACAAAUCACUACCUGGCAUUUUGCCAAAACGAACUAGAGAACGGCUGGCAGCAUGCACAUCAAGACUGCUGAGAAGGAUGGAUGAACUGAUGUCAUGGGCAAGAAUGAAGAUCAAGCCCUCCAAGUCUCGCAACCUGUCAAUCAGGAGAGGGGUCAGGAAUGACAGCAGCACCUUUGUUGUUGGGGGGGAGAAGAUUCCACUUCUCGUAGAACAGCCCAUCAAAAGCUUGGGGAGGCAGUACACCGCAGAGCUGUCCGACAAACAGAUGGGCUGCUUAAACCGGGCCCCGGACAUUAUGGUCAUCCAUAUUAAUUGGACCCACUGGUAUGCGCCCGUAUCCAGAAAACUUUCCGGUACUCUCACUUUUCCCCGAACAGGCCUCACACUGCCGACCGUGGAAGGUGACGUCGUAUAUGAUCUGUAUGCAACAAUAGAGCAUUGGAUUUACAUUCGUAUUGUGAAAAACAAAAAAGAGGAGGCAAACCACUACAUCGCAUUUUGCCAAAACCAACUCGACAGCAGCUGGACUAAAUUUGAUGAUUCCAGGGUGGAUUCCGUGAACACAGACAUGGUGUCUUCCCAUCACUGCACUCAGGAAGCCGAUAAAAACGGAACCGUUGAAGUUCUUUUUUACAAGAAGCGCCAUAAAGUGAACGCCAGCCAGUUGGAAAACGCCAUCGUGAGAGAAAUUUUUACCACCGACUGGAGGGAAACCAAUUCCUGUCCAUGCUCGGACUCUCCAAAGACCUCCGAGAGGCGCGAGUGGUACAUCCAGCUUACUGUUCCUUUUGUGCAGGUCAGACGCAUGCACCAAACAAAAAUAAGCCCGCAGCCAAGUUGGAUAACGAACGUUCCUUUCACAGGAUUAUACAACAAAGCUGAGGCUGAACCUGAACAAAAUGCUCAGAUAAUUGUUACAGCCGGAUGGUCAGAUAUGCAGCAGCUGCUCUGCACCCAAAGACACAGACACCUGCUUAAGCCGGGCCCCGGACAUUAUGGUCAUCCAUCUUAAUUGGACCCACCGGUAUGUGUCCAAAUCCAGAAAACUUUCCGGUGCUCUCACUUUUCCCCACACAAGCCUCACACUGCCGACCGUGGGAGGUGACGUCGUAUAUGAUCUAUACGCAACAAUUGAGCAUUGGAUUUACUUCGUAGAGCGGAACGCAUUCGGAAACGCAACAGGCGGAAGCAGAAGGAGCGAAGUAGCUUCUUCAAGGAUCCCUUUAAGCAUGCCAGACAGCUGCUGGAG
RNA transcript from Corythoichthys intestinalis (scribbled pipefish), 2206 nucleotides. It is a transcript of the gene named ubiquitin carboxyl-terminal hydrolase 31-like, with no coding region annotated. The transcript is spliced from 8 exons. The record is from RefSeq and is a predicted model, not a curated record. Lineage: Eukaryota; Metazoa; Chordata; Actinopteri; Syngnathiformes; Syngnathidae.